This 443-nucleotide ribosomal RNA is filed under the name uncultured bacterium. Its description in RNAcentral is "bacterial SSU rRNA". It matches the Rfam family "Bacterial small subunit ribosomal RNA", at positions 337 to 797 of the family's 1533-position model. The record is from RNAcentral.
CCCUACGGGGGGCAGCAGUGGGGGAUAUUGCUCAAUGGGGGAAACCCUGAAGCAGCAACGCCGCGUGAAGGAAGAAGGUCUUCGGAUUGUAAACUUUUGUCUUCUGGGAAGAUAAUGACGGUACCAGAGGAGGAAGCCACGGCUAACUACGUGCCAGCAGCCGCGGUAAUACGUAGGUGGCGAGCGUUGUCCGGAAUUACUGGGUGUAAAGGGUGCGUAGGCGGGUGCGCAAGUCAGAUGUGAAAUCCCGGGGCUUAACCCCGGAACUGCAUUUGAAACUGUGCGUCUUGAGUGGAGGAGAGGUAAGUGGAAUUCCCAGUGUAGCGGUGAAAUGCGUAGAUAUUGGGAGGAACACCAGUGGCGAAGGCGACUUACUGGACUCUAACUGACGCUGAGGCACGAAAGCGUGGGGAGCAAACAGGAUUAGAUACCCGGGUAGUCCC